GUGUUUCCUUUGCUCACAGGGACCUGUUGAGUCAACAGCUGGGGGCUGGGUAAGAACUGAGUGGAAACGGAGUGCAAGUGGUUGAUAAGCUGGGCACAUCUCUGCUCCCUGGGCGUCCAGCUUUCAAACCGGGAAAGUUUGUAGGUCUCCUUAAUAUGGGAAAAUUGAGGAAGAAAAAAAGAUCAACACUCUAUUCAAUCCACCAAGAACACAUACUGUAUGACAAGGCAAACCAGAUACCUCUUUCUACUGGUCUGUACUGAACUGCAAUUAAAAUGCAGGUUUACACAUAUACAAGGAUGAAUAGUCCAGUCUGCAAAACAGAAAUAAGCAUCAAAUACCAAUUCUGGGAGAAUCUUUGCUCUCUCCGGCUUCUCACCACUUUCUGGAGAAGAGAAGAAAACAGAAGGCGAGACAGAUAUUCGUAAGGGUGCGUGCACCUUACCCUAUAA
Dromiciops gliroides (monito del monte) is the source of this 452-nucleotide long non-coding RNA. RefSeq lists it as uncharacterized. The transcript has 3 exons. The record is from RefSeq and is a predicted model, not a curated record. Lineage: Eukaryota; Metazoa; Chordata; Mammalia; Microbiotheria; Microbiotheriidae.